This 1266-nucleotide ribosomal RNA is filed under the name Triticum aestivum (bread wheat). RNAcentral describes it as "partial small subunit ribosomal RNA". The record is from RNAcentral. Lineage: Eukaryota; Viridiplantae; Streptophyta; Magnoliopsida; Poales; Poaceae.
AUGGCGCAGGGCAGGUGGAAGCCAGUCAUAUGGAUGCGUCGCAAGAGGCUCCGAGACGACGCGCCUACUGAGGCUGAGGCGGAGGCGGUGGUGGGCGAGAGCUUCGACUUCGCCUUCGACAACGAGGCCUUCUCCGACCGGGUGCUGCGGGUAGAGGUCGUCGGCAGCGAGGAGGAAAAUGGCGCUGAUGGAAAAGGUAUUGACUCCUCCUGUACCGUGAUGGGUACACCAGUUUUACGAGUCAAUACCAUACAUGUUAGUUCGGCGAUUCUUGCUGCAAAAAGUCCUUUCUUUCUCAAGCUUUUCUCAAAUGGCAUGAAAGAGUCUGAUCAGAGACAUGCAACACUUACAAUUGCUGAUUCAGAAGAAAAGGCCUUCAUGGCGCUUUUACACUUAAUGUAUACCGGAAAGUUGACACCAACAACUGAGUCCACUCUUCUGGUUGAUAUGUUGAUGGCCGCGGACAAAUUUGAGGUUGUUUCUUGCAUGAAGCUUUGUAGUCAGGGGCUCAUAGACCUGCCUAUGACCCUAGAAUCGGCAGUGAGGUGCCUAGAUCUCCCAUGUACCAUUCCAUUGGCAGCUGCCAUCAAAGAGGCAGCCAAGACCUUCUUUGCUGAAACUUACAAGGAAUUCCUGUCAACAAAGUUCCAAGAUGAACUGAUGAGGGUCCCUCUUGCUGGAAUUCGGGCCAUCUUAUCAAGGAAUCACCUUGGGAUUGUAUCUGAAGGAGCCGUCUAUGAGUUCAUGCUUAGGUGGGCCUGUUCACAGUACUCUAAUUCAGAAGAAAGACACAAGAUUUUGAGUUCACGGUUACUUCCACUAGUCCCACGAGUCCUCAGUAUGAACGAUUCCAUUCUAAUUGAUCACCCGUCUGGUAUAAUUAACUUUACUAUCAAGCGUGAGAAGUGUUACGGGCUCUUCCCGUUAGGAUCGAUGCGUUCGCCGCCGUUCCAUUGUGCGGGGCGUCGCUUCUACCUCACGGCACGCUGUAUGGCGACGGAGCAGCUCCAGAUUUUCGGCCUUUCAGUAAAUAUGCUGGAAGACAAGGGGGCAGUAAGGGGGACAGUAGAUUAUAAGAUUGGGGUAAAGACAAGACCGUCGCUGCAGUUUGUCACCAAGCACAUCAGCAGCACCACCACCGAUAGUAAGCAACCUGUUGGAUGCAGGGUUCCUUGGUCGGAGUUCAUCGCUGAUGACAGCCCUUACUUCAUUGAUGACGAACUCCAUCUGCAAGUUCACGUGAAGAUAACACCACAGCCGGAGUGA